UGGAGCGAGUAAAGCGGCAAACGGGUGAGUAACACGUAAGUAACUUUCCUCUAAGUUGGGAAUGAGGCCUGCCAACGCGGGGUUAAUACCGAAUGUGGUCAGAAAGUCGCAUGGUUUUCUGACUAAAGGUGGCUUCGGCUACCGCUUAGAGAUGGGCUUGCGCACCAUUAGCUUGUUGGUGGGGUAAUGGCCUACCAAGGCUUUGAUGGUUAGCCGACCUGAGAGGGUGAUCGGCCACAUUGGGACUGAGAUACGGGCCAGACUCCUACGGGAGGCAGCAGUAGGGAAUUUUGCGCAAUGGACGAAAGUCUGACGCAGCAACGCCGCGUGAGGGAUGAAGGGUUUCGGCUCGUAAACCUCUGUUGAGUAGGAAGAAACGUCAUGGGGUUAAUACCCUCAUGGCCUGACGGUACUACUCGAGGAAGCUCCGGCUAACUACGUGCCAGCAGCCGCGGUAAUACGUAGGGGGCGAGCGUUGUUCGGAAUCACUGGGCGUAGAGGGAGCGUAGGCGGGAAGGUAAGUCAGAAGUCUAGCACAUGGGCUUA
RNAcentral lists this ribosomal RNA (546 nucleotides) under uncultured organism. RNAcentral's name for it is "bacterial SSU rRNA". It matches the Rfam family "Bacterial small subunit ribosomal RNA", at positions 82 to 611 of the family's 1533-position model. The record is from RNAcentral.